Molecule: ribosomal RNA, 461 nt
Filed under: uncultured bacterium
Lineage: Bacteria
Description: bacterial SSU rRNA
Rfam family: Bacterial small subunit ribosomal RNA
Source: RNAcentral
GAUGAACGCUGGCGGCGUGCUUAACACAUGCAAGUCGAACGGGAUCCAUCAGGCUUUGCUUGGUGGUGAGAGUGGCGAACGGGUGAGUAAUGCGUGACCGACCUGCCCCAUACACCGGAAUAGCUCCUGGAAACGGGUGGUAAUGCCGGAUGCUCCGACUCCUCGCAUGGGGUGUCGGGAAAGAUUUCAUCGGUAUGGGAUGGGGUCGCGUCCUAUCAGGUAGUCGGCGGGGUAACGGCCCACCGAGCCUACGACGGGUAGCCGGCCUGAGAGGGCGACCGGCCACAUUGGGACUGAGAUACGGCCCAGACUCCUACGGGAGGCAGCAGUGGGGAAUAUUGCACAAUGGGCGCAAGCCUGAUGCAGCGACGCCGCGUGCGGGAUGACGGCCUUCGGGUUGUAAACCGCUUUUGAUCGGGAGCAAGCCUUCGGGUGAGUGUACCUUUCGAAUAAGCACCGGC